CGCGUAGGCGGACUUUCAAGUCGGAUGUGAAAUCUCUGGGCUCAACUCAGAGCGUGCAUCCGAUACUGUUGGUCUUGAGUAUAUCAGAGGAAAGUGGAAUUCCAGGUGUAGCGGUGAAAUGCGUAGAUAUCUGGAAGAACACCAGUAGCGAAGGCGGCUUUCUGGGGUAAUACUGACGCUGAAGCGCGAAGGCUAGGGGAGCAAACA
Molecule: ribosomal RNA, 207 nt
Filed under: uncultured bacterium
Lineage: Bacteria
Description: partial 16S ribosomal RNA
Rfam family: Bacterial small subunit ribosomal RNA
Source: RNAcentral